This 1412-nucleotide long non-coding RNA is filed under the name Homo sapiens (human). Its description in RNAcentral is "HSALNT0260143". Lineage: Eukaryota; Metazoa; Chordata; Mammalia; Primates; Hominidae. The record is from RNAcentral.
GGCUCACACCUGUAAUCCCAGCACUUUGAGCGGCCAAGUUGGGCAGAUAACUUGAGGUGAGGAGUUCGAGACCAGCCUGGCCAACAUGGUGAAACACCAUCUCUACCAAAAAUACAAAAAAAAAAAAAAAAAUAGUCGAGUGUGCUGGCCUGCACCUGUAGUCCCAGCUACUCAGGAGGCUGAGGCAGGAGAAUCACCUGAACCUGAAAGGAGGAGGUUGCAGUAAGUGGAGAUGGUGCCACUGCAUUCCAGCCUGGGUGACAGAGCAACCCCUAUCUCAAAAACAAAAAAAUUUUUAAGGAAUGAUGUUAAAUGACAGAAGAUGAGAAAGACAGCAGAGUAAGUCUCUCCAGCCAUUAUCUCCCAGCAGAAACAUCCAUUUGAGCAACUAUCCACACACAAAAUUACUUUCACAAGAGCCAAAAAAAAAAAAAAAACUCGAACACACGAGUGAAGCUGGGAAGCGCCCUUGGACCACAAAGACAAGCAAAACCACGGUUGGAAGGUAAAGGGAUCAGUUCUCUGUGCUUGCAACAUGCCUCCCCUCAAGCCAUUAUGGCACCACACGUGGAAACUCCCCAUGGACCCAUGAUUUUUACACUGGAAAAACUGAGCUAGGGGUGGACAUACAGAUUCCCCAUCAUUCCGGGCCCCUCCACAAAAGACUCACUCCUGUAUUGGCCCAUAGAGAACACUGCAAGUACCUAAGGCCAGUUAAAGACAAAAAGAAGGGGUGGGGUUGGGCAGCCACUGCAAGGAAUUUGGCAGUGGCUCUCCAUCCCUGCCAGAGGAGAUGCUGCACCAAAGACACUGUUUACAGAAACCAUGCUGCAGGAAGCAUGGUCCACAGAUCCUCUGGCCUUGAGGGCCUGGCUGGUUCUCCACAGGGCCCAGGUGCCCUCUGUGGCUCUCCCACCUGCCCCAUCCAGGUCCGACAUUUCAUCAGCAGUGAAGCUAGUGCCAGACUCGCCUCUAACCUGGGCUUAGGGUACCCCCUAGUGUUGAAAUGGAAGACAACAGUCAGUCCACUCACAAUUUCUAAAUAAGCCCACUGAAAUAGAAUGGUCACAAACAAACUCAGGCUGUAAAGACCGUAAUAAACACCUAAUUCACCAAUGCAUAGAUAGAGACGCAGAUCUAGGAAUAAGAAUAGCCUAGGAACGUGCCUCGUCAAAUAGACAGAACAAAAUGCCAAUGAAUUAUCCUAAAAACAUGCAAAUGAAUGGUCUGGCAGGCAAAGAAUUCAAAACGGCUGUUUUAAGAAAACUCAGAGAACUUAAAGAAAACAUAGAGAAACAAUUCAGACGUUUGUCAGAGAAAUGUAACAGCGAAAGUAAAAUAAUAAGAAACAAACAGAAACCUUGAAGCUGAGAAGUACAAUAUGAAAUGAAAAAUGUGCCGGGCGCGGUGGC